GUUCUGGGCUUGCCUGGGAGAAGGAGCUGUUGCAGUCUUGCACGAUCAAAAUAGGGCCUUUAGGUUUGAAGGAUGAGGUUGAGCCCAUAUUUUGACUCCAAAUGUCGGGGGAGGGGAGAAGAAGUCGACAGAUCCAAACAAGGAACAUUUGAAUGAAAUGCAGAUAACUCUUUAGAAAACUUUUGUAGGAAAAGCGCCUCGUGUGAUCUGGAACAAAGACGUUUUAUAAUCAGAUUUAUCAAGCUGCGAAGAGGGAGUUUUAGUGAACGGAAGCAGCAGCAUUCUGUCACCAGGAAAUACUCCUUUAUCCAGAAUUGAGCCCCUCCCCAGAAGGCAAAGGAUCACCCAGCUGCUGGAAGGUGUAGGUACCCU
This 372-nucleotide long non-coding RNA is filed under the name Homo sapiens (human). Its description in RNAcentral is "non-protein coding lnc-CXorf36-46:4". The record is from RNAcentral. Lineage: Eukaryota; Metazoa; Chordata; Mammalia; Primates; Hominidae.